RNAcentral lists this long non-coding RNA (1111 nucleotides) under Capra hircus (goat). RNAcentral describes it as "lncRNA (ENSCHIG00010006776.1)". The record is from RNAcentral. Lineage: Eukaryota; Metazoa; Chordata; Mammalia; Artiodactyla; Bovidae.
UGCAGGCAGAUUCUUUACCAGCUGAGCCACCAGGGAAGCCCAAACACACACAAGAGUGUGCUGGGGUUGGAGCCCCACCAAGGAGGUGGCAAGACUGCAGCAGCCACUGGUCAGAAGGCUUCACAACGGUGGAGGAGGAAGGAGCUGCAAGAGCAGAGGUAAUUGCAAGGAAAAGCUCAAACCGGCAAAGCAUCGUGAGAUGGGUAACAGGAAGCAAGAGUGAAAGACGACAAAAACAUCACCCAGAAUAUCAGUCUCAUGGAAAAUGGCAUUUCCAUUAGAACCACCACGAAAAUGCAUCCACACGGAAAAGGGUUUCUAAAAUAAUGCUCAAUGAGAAAAGCAAGACAUAAAACAGUGAAUGCACGAUGGCUGCAAUCACGUAUACAGAAGGCUGAAAUGUGGACGGGAAACCUAUCAGUAGAGAAUUCAAAACCACCAAACGACAGCCAUAGAAUUAUGGACAGACCAGUUUUCUUUUAAAACGACUUUUAAUCUUACGGUGAAGACACAUGUGUAUACACUCACCAUAUUUCUGUAGGCAAUUAGAGUGUACGGAAAUAUUCACUGCAGCCCUGUAACAAUUUACAAAACGGGAAGUGAUUCAAAUAUCCGUCUAUCAGGGGCAGAUCAAAUAAAUUCUGGCAUAUACAGAAAAUGACUUCCUAUGCCACUUGAAACACUGAGGUAUAUCUGUCUGUACUGACGUGCGGCUAAGUCUGUGAGAUACAGCCAAGUAAAAUUUUUAAAAGGCAAGAUGCAGAAAAACAUGCAUGGUAUAAUAAUAUUUUUAUUAAAAGAAAUAACUGCAUUAGUAUAUGCUGGUAUAUAUACAGGAAAGAAAGAGUUUGGAGUAAUAGACACAAAUGCAGGGAAAAUUAUGGGACUGCAUGUUUUCAUUUCCUACAUUAAUGUAUGUCUCUGACGCUUGAAUUUUGUAUGAUAUGAACCUAUGUGGGUCACAAUUUUAAAGAGUGAAAAUUGAACCAAAAUUUUUGAAAGCGACUAGCAUAUGCGGGCUUCCCUGGUGGUUCAGUGUUAAAGAAUCCGCCUGCAAUUCCGGAGACACAGGAGAUGCAGGUUCGAUCCCUGGGUCAGAAAGAUCCCCUGG